RNAcentral lists this long non-coding RNA (286 nucleotides) under Manihot esculenta (cassava). Its description in RNAcentral is "long non-coding RNA (MESC_LNC012315)". The record is from RNAcentral. Lineage: Eukaryota; Viridiplantae; Streptophyta; Magnoliopsida; Malpighiales; Euphorbiaceae.
UUUAAAGGAGCUGAAAGCAGACCCUUAGCAAAUCUCUAUCAGUAAUCCUUGGCUUCAGGAUCAAUAUGGAGGUGCCCUCUUGAAGGUGCAAGAGAUGGACCUAUUGCCAAAUCUCUACAGUCAUGGAAGUGGCUCUCGAUUGCCUAUGAUAUUCAAAAUAAUAUAGAAGGUAUGGAUGUUCCUAGGGAUUCACAUCUGCAUGAGGAGGAAGAUAAAGAGACUGAUGUUAUCCAGAUUGUUUUAAGCAAUACGCGUCUACGCUCGGUAGGCAAUCAUGAUUGUUUAG